CUGAGGAUGCAUCUCAGAGGUAGGGCACUUGCCUAGUAUGUAAAAGGCCCUGGGUUCAAUCCCCAGUGUCACAGA
Molecule: transfer RNA, 75 nt
Filed under: Marmota monax (woodchuck)
Lineage: Eukaryota; Metazoa; Chordata; Mammalia; Rodentia; Sciuridae
Description: tRNA.Thr
Source: RNAcentral